UCAUUAUGCAGUGAUCAGCAAAAGAGAUAAAGUAUUAAAAGCAUUGCUUCAAAAACAUUCAUCUUUGAUUUACCUUAUAAAUGGGAAAGAUGAAAAAGGGCAUACACCUGUCCAUCUAUGUAAGGCUUACCAUCCUAAAUUGCCUUAUUUCAUACGAAAGGGAAAUACUGAUAAGUUCAAGCUUUGGAGAAAACUGCAUUGUCAAAUCCCAAGAUACUCAUCCUCAAAGAAGAAGGAAAUUUUAGAAUGGAUGGAAGACCUUGGCACUGGA
This 271-nucleotide unclassified non-coding RNA is filed under the name Hevea brasiliensis (rubber tree). The record is from RNAcentral. Lineage: Eukaryota; Viridiplantae; Streptophyta; Magnoliopsida; Malpighiales; Euphorbiaceae.